Molecule: long non-coding RNA, 2037 nt
Organism: Mauremys reevesii (Reeves's turtle)
Lineage: Eukaryota; Metazoa; Chordata; Testudines; Geoemydidae
Exons: 3
Source: RefSeq, a predicted model, not a curated record
GAGCCACAGGCAGCGGCUGAGCCCUGGGCAGCCAUUGUGAGCAGCAGCCAGACACAGACGCCAACUCCUCCACCAAGCACGGAACCUCAUGCACCCAACUGCUCCACCAAGCACUGAACCUCACGCACUCUGUGCUCACCAUCCAACCUACCAAGAAGGCUGAGGGAGAGGACUUCAAGCAGCUCAGCUAAACACCCAGCAAAGGCUAUUCCCCGUCCUGUCCAAACUGGGCAAUAGCUGCAGCCUUGUAAGAAAGCCUGGUCCCUUGAGACUUCCUGAUCCUAGAGGCUGGACAUGCUCACCUGAGCUGAACCCUUGAGGAGGUUUGCCCAUCACUCGAAUGACGCUGCAGGAUCCAAGUCUUAUCUCAGCUACACUGCUGUAAAUCCAGGGCAAUCCUAUUGGCCUCAGCAUAGUUAUUUGGGAUUGAGACUGGUGUGAGCUCACAAUCUUGCUCAGUGACUUGACAACACAACUCCUCUGCCCCCAUUACCCAAACCCAAACCCAUCCACAGCACAGAUUAGUCCCUUUUUGGUGCACAGAGGUGAAAGGGAUGUUUCUCUGUGCUGCAGCUUUUCACGCUGUGCUGCUUCGCUCCCUCUUACUGUGUUGCUUCAAUCUCUCCUAUUGAGCUUAUCCUUUUAUUAUAACAUGAGUUACACAUUACCCAGCCAGUGGGAUCCUGGAAAAAUCUUGUUCCACCACCUACUUUUCUGUUGCUGCUGUUGAUGUCUCUGUAGGUUAGUCACACAUUUUCCCCCUAAUUCAUCCCAGCCCUGGCACCCACAUUAGCAAUUCUGCUACAAUCUGCUGGCUAGACCUCGUGUGCUUUGCCAUGGCUAGGAUCAGGUAGCAAGGAGAUGCUACGACAGAGGGGCCCCACCCCCGCCGCCCCUGAUGGCUGCUUGAUGGGAGCUGAGGGUAGGACUUGAGUGGGCAAAACAUACCCGGGGAUCAGACUGUAUUAAAGAAGAGGGUGGCUGCAAAGAGGCAGGCUAUGGAUACUAAACUAUAGGUCUCACUGCGCAGUGUUCCAUCCUGAUCCGGGGGCUUCCUGCCCCUCUGCCAAUUUCUGUACAAUGCUUUGUAAGCCAUGCAACAAUGCGUGCUCACCUGCCCAAUGAAAGCAGCACAUCCAUCAGUAUUUUUACAUACCUACCUUGUGUGCUGAUUUGCAUGUUCAGGAACAGCUGAAUAGCUCCAUGUAUAAACUAGUCAUUACCCUAGGCAAGCCCACUGAUGCUAAUGGGGCAAUAGGAACAGGAGGGCAGAACAUGGCCAAUGUGCGUGAGAUUCCAAGGGGAAAUCGACAGAACAUUAACUACUGGCAGCAAAUAGCAUAGCAACAGUACCGCUAGCCUUCAGUAAGUGCGUGGAGCUGCAACAGAUGCUGGAACAGGGACUGCUACAGUGUUCUAGGUUGGUGUGUGGAGCAAAGAGGCAUCUCUGCUCUACGCACCUGUUUUGCAAUUCUGUUCUGAGAAGGACAGGCAAAGAAAAAAAAAACAAAUGUUUUAGCUUUCUUUUCAAAGAACACGAGAAACUUUGGACAAAGGAGGCCAUAACAGCUGCUUGUGUUAAAAAGUAUCUUAGGCCUACUUCCUUGCUGGAUCCCUUAGUCCCUUCCUUCUAGAGAAAGACGUCUAAUAGACUCAUCAGUGCUAGAUUCUACCCUCAGUUAUGCCCUUGCAAGAUGCAAGCCCAUUGAUUUCAGCUGGGUUGAACAGAUAGCGGCAAGAGAUCAGCUGGCCUCCCGUGUUAUUACCUUUUGCAUUCAGGGCAGCAAGGCACUAAUAACCCUUUGCAUUGAGCAGUUUAGCCUGAGUUCCCUAAUAAGUCCUUGCUUCCUGGUGUUUUACGGUAAGUCCUUUCAUGCUGAAAUGUCUCACCAAUAGCAGCUGAGAGCUGGUUUCAAAAUGAAAUCCGGUUUCAAAACGAAAGCCCACUUUUGUGAAAUAUUUUGCAUAUGUCAAUAUUUUCCCCAUGUCUGAAUUACACACUUUUUUUAAAUAAAGAUUUUGUUUUGAAUUCUGAAA